AAACAAUUUUAUGAACUGAAAACUAACAUUUCUUAUAGAAGAAAAUUGUUCACGUCCCAUUUUUCCAAAAUCGACCCUGAGAUCGACAAUAGUGUGCAAAAGAAAUCAUGUCGAAAUAUUACUUCUUCGCAGCGUCGUUUUGGUCAGGAGAAUGCGUGUUUUUUGGUAACUUCAUAUUUACCGUCAUUGUCUCUCCUAACCAAAAACACAGUAAAUAGACAGAGAACAUUCGACGAACUUCACACCAUUCACAUUCGUUCUAGUAGCUUUGGCUAGCACCGGUAUAACUAUAUUCAAAUAUUUAUUUUCUGACUGAAUUUAAACUCAAGUUGGGUUGUAACACACAAAAGUAACAAUUAUGUCAAAUUAAUUCAUAAAACACAUGGAAUUAUCGUAUACCUAAGUAUAAAAGAAAAACAGUGCAAUUGCAAUGUUUCACUGUAAUAUAAUUGUUACGUUUGUUAUGACUUAUUUUAAGUUUGAAUGUUACUGGCCCACAUUUACAUUUUCGUUAACAUGUAGCUUAGCAUCAAAAUUGGUUAUGUAUACCAGUCCGACUACUACUAUUUGGAUUCGGUAAGUUUUCAUCUUUCCUACGGUUCUAGUCCGUAUACGAUAUAUAAAUUUGCAACACUAUCUCUUGCUAUUUUUUUUAUUCUUUGAGUAUAAGGUGUCUUGCUUUUGUUUUGUAAGACAAUGACUUGGGAUAUUCAGUGCUUCGAAUACAUGAAAUUCAUCCUCUAUGCCAGAACUAUUUACUACUUUAAAGCUUAUGUGUGUAAAAAUGAAAAUUGCUUCAUUUAUAACUUUAGUUAGUGGGUGAAUCUUACCAACUUUUUCUUGUCCAAUGACCAACAUAAUGUCAGUUACCUUAUUGUGCAGUUUAAAGUUAAUUUCUUUGGUUUUUGGUAUAUUUUCUUUAUUUUAAGUUGACUUGGUUUAUUAUAUAAAAUGCUGGUUACCGGGCUUAAAUUAUUUUUUACUUGUGUAUUCUCUAUCUUCUUUAAGCUAUAAAAGUAAACUUUAGUCAUACCCUUUUACUUAAAUAUCAAAUCCUAACUAUUUCUAAAUCCUGCAAAAGCACUCUCAAUUUUAGUAACUGGUUUAUUUGUAAAUGAAGCUAUUUCUUUCAAUUCAAAAAUACUAGUGUAAACUUUCAUUAUAGUGAUAUUUUGCAUAAUAUCAACCACUUAAAAAACUAUUUCCUUAAUUAUUAAUUUAUCGAGUAAUUGUGUUUUUUUUGUUAACCCUUUGAGCUCUAUGGACGCAUAUAUGGGUUUGGCGAAAGUCAUCCGCGUGGCCUAAGGUCGCAUAAAUGGGUUUUCUCUAAGUCAUUGGCAUGGACUAAAGGCGCAUAUAUGCGUUUGUCGAUUUUUUCGAUCAAUAUGCAGUCACUUUCGUGUAAAAUU
Long non-coding RNA from Megachile rotundata (alfalfa leafcutting bee), 1409 nucleotides. The record is from RefSeq and is a predicted model, not a curated record. NCBI's taxonomy places the organism in Eukaryota, Metazoa, Arthropoda, Insecta, Hymenoptera, Megachilidae.